Molecule: ribosomal RNA, 421 nt
Filed under: uncultured eukaryote
Lineage: Eukaryota
Description: SSU rRNA
Rfam family: Eukaryotic small subunit ribosomal RNA
Source: RNAcentral
CAAUAGCGUAUAUUAAAGUUGUUGCGGUUAAAAAGACUCGUAGUUGGAGUUCUGCCAGGUGCCGCCUGUCCCGCCCCAGUGGUGAGUACGUGGCGCGCAUUUGGCCCUUUCAAGGGGAGCGUAUCUGCACUUUAUUGUGUGGUGCGGGAUCCUUGAACUUUUACUUUGAGGAAAUGGGAGUGUUCCAAGCAGGCUCUCGUCGUGCACAGCUCAGCAUGGAAUAAUAGCAUUGGACCUCGAUUCUAAGCUGUUGGUUGCCAGGAAGCGAGGUAAUGAUGAAGAGGGAUAGUUGGGGGCAUUUCGUAUUUAACUGUCAGAGGUGAAAUUCUUGGAUUUGUUAAAGACGGACUUACUGCGAAAGCAAUCUGGCCAUGGAUGUUUUCAUUGAUCAAGAACGAAAGUUAGGGAUCGAAGACGAUCA